GAUGAACGCUGGCGGCGUGCCUAAUACAUGCAAGUCGAGCGAACAGACGAGGAGCUUGCUCCUCUGACGUUAGCGGCGGACGGGUGAGUAACACGUGGAUAACCUACCUAUAAGACUGGGAUAACUUCGGGAAACCGGAGCUAAUACCGGAUAAUAUAUUGAACCGCAUGGUUCAAUAGUGAAAGACGGUUUUGCUGUCACUUAUAGAUGGAUCCGCGCCGCAUUAGCUAGUUGGUAAGGUAACGGCUUACCAAGGCAACGAUGCGUAGCCGACCUGAGAGGGUGAUCGGCCACACUGGAACUGAGACACGGUCCAGACUCCUAGGGGAGGCAGCAGUAGGGAAUCUUCCGCGAUGGGCGAAAGCUUGACGGAGCAACGCCGCGUGAGUGAUGAAGGUCUUCGGAUCGUAAAACUCUGUUAUUAGGGAAGAACAAAUGUGUAAGUAACUAUGCACGUCUUGACGGUACCUAAACAGAAAGCCACGGCUAACUACGUG
RNAcentral lists this ribosomal RNA (497 nucleotides) under uncultured bacterium. RNAcentral describes it as "partial 16S ribosomal RNA". It matches the Rfam family "Bacterial small subunit ribosomal RNA", at positions 28 to 507 of the family's 1533-position model. The record is from RNAcentral.